RNAcentral lists this long non-coding RNA (677 nucleotides) under Anas platyrhynchos platyrhynchos (common mallard). Its description in RNAcentral is "lncRNA (ENSAPLG00000018084.1)". The record is from RNAcentral. Lineage: Eukaryota; Metazoa; Chordata; Aves; Anseriformes; Anatidae.
AUGGAGCCAGUCUCUGAAAUGAAAACUUUCCACCUACGAGACAGUAAGAGGUCGUUGAGAUCAUUGCCUAGUCUCCUGAAGGCCUGUGAGUACUCAAAAUACUUGUUUUCUCAGGGAGUCAUUGGUCUAAGCUGCAUCAUUUACAGCUAUGCAGUUUGCUUCAGAGUAGGAGAGAAAACAGGAAAGGAUCCAAGUAAUUUAGUACUAAAUUGUUGCACAGUGGUGUUUAGUACUAAAUUAGUGAACCCAAUGGAAUUCUUUGAAAAGAAGAGACUUAAAUCAAAGAUGAAGCUUCUGGAAACAUCAUCUCCUAAAAGUUCAGCAGUCAGUUUAGAUCUUCUCAAUCUAUAUGUUGUUAACCAAAUAUCAACCAAAAAAGACAGCACUGUGAACCAGAAGAAGCCAGUUCAUAUUGAUAUCACUGGACACUUAAAAGCUCCUGUUAGAAGGUACAAUCUCGAUCUUCCCAAGUCACCGCUGCAUAAACAAUAUCCAGAAAACUUAGACCUCAUCCAGAACAGGUACUUGUAUAAAACAGGCAGUAGUUAAGCUACACUGAAGUUCUGAAAAAGGUGUUUCAUGAUGUACUUUCAUCUGCUUUCUAAAAAACUAAAAGGAGUUACCAUUGCAGUGCAGUGGAAAAUAAACCUGGUAAGGAUCUAUUUUUUGUGUAUUUA